UACGGGGGGAGCAAGCGUUGUUCGGAUUUACUGGGCGUAAAGGGCGCGUAGGCGGCCUCCGCAAGUCGACUGUGAAAUCUCUGGGCUUAACCCAGAACGGUCAGCCGAUACUGCGGGGCUAGAGUGCAGAAGGGGCAACUGGAAUUCUCGGUGUAGCGGUGAAAUGCGUAGAUAUCGAGAGGAACACCUGCGGCGAAGGCGGGUUGCUGGGCUGACACUGACGCUGAGGCGCGAAAGCCAGGGGAGCGAACGGG
Molecule: ribosomal RNA, 254 nt
Filed under: uncultured bacterium
Lineage: Bacteria
Description: partial 16S ribosomal RNA
Rfam family: Bacterial small subunit ribosomal RNA
Source: RNAcentral